GGUUUCUUGGCGCAGUUGGUUAGCGCGUCUCCUUAACAACUCCGGUCCCUCUUCGGAUCGUUAGGGCUUACGGAGGAGGUCGCCGGUUCGAACCCGGCAGAAAUCA
RNAcentral lists this transfer RNA (106 nucleotides) under Moesziomyces antarcticus T-34. It matches the Rfam family "tRNA". From Rfam's summary of the family: Transfer RNA (tRNA) molecules are approximately 80 nucleotides in length. Their secondary structure includes four short double-helical elements and three loops (D, anti-codon, and T loops). Lineage: Eukaryota; Fungi; Basidiomycota; Ustilaginomycetes; Ustilaginales; Ustilaginaceae. The record is from Rfam by way of RNAcentral.